RNAcentral lists this ribosomal RNA (243 nucleotides) under uncultured bacterium. RNAcentral's name for it is "partial 16S ribosomal RNA". It matches the Rfam family "Bacterial small subunit ribosomal RNA", at positions 90 to 334 of the family's 1533-position model. The record is from RNAcentral.
CGUGAGCGGCGGACGGGUGAGUAACGCGUGGGUAACCUGCCUCAUACAGGGGGAUAACAGUUGGAAACGGCUGCUAAUACCGCAUAAGCGCACAGUACCGCAUGGUACGGUGUGAAAAACUCCGGUGGUAUGAGAUGGACCCGCGUCUGAUUAGGUAGUUGGUGGGUAACGGCCUACCAAGCCGACGAUCAGUAGCCGACCUGAGAGGGUGACCGGCCACAUUGGGACUGAGACACGGCCCAA